RNAcentral lists this ribosomal RNA (768 nucleotides) under Halanaerobium polyolivorans. Its description in RNAcentral is "partial 23S ribosomal RNA". It matches the Rfam family "Bacterial large subunit ribosomal RNA", at positions 2160 to 2925 of the family's 2925-position model. Lineage: Bacteria; Bacillati; Bacillota; Clostridia; Halanaerobiales; Halanaerobiaceae. The record is from RNAcentral.
AAGCUGGUAUGCUAAUAUCAGUGGAGCCGUUGGUGGGAUACCACCCUUUCUACAGCGGAAUUCUAACUGGAGGCCAUACAACUGGUCACAGGACAUUGUCAGGCGGGCAGUUUGACUGGGGCGGUCGCCUCCCAAACAGUAACGGAGGCGCUCAAAGGUUCCCUCAGUGCGGAUGGAAAUCGCACGAAGAGUGUAAAGGCAGAAGGGAGCUUAACUGCGAGACAAACAAGUCGAGCAGGUACGAAAGUAGGACUUAGUGAUCCGGCGGUAUAGUGUGGAAUUGCCGUCGCUCAACGGAUAAAAGUUACCCCGGGGAUAACAGGCUUAUCUCCCCCAAGAGUUCACAUCGACGGGGAGGUUUGGCACCUCGAUGUCGGCUCAUCGCAUCCUGGAGCUGAAGCAGGUUCCAAGGGUUGGGCUGUUCGCCCAUUAAAGCGGUACGCGAGCUGGGUUCAGAACGUCGUGAGACAGUUCGGUCCCUAUCCGUCGCAGGCGGAGGAUACUUGAGGAGAGCUGUCCCUAGUACGAGAGGACCGGGAUGGACACACCGAUGGUGAAUCAGUUGUUCCACCAGGAGCAUAGCUGAGUAGCUAAGUGUGGGAAAGAUAAACGCUGAAAGCAUCUAAGCGUGAAACAAACUCCAAGAUAAGGUAUCCCACUCUGUUAAAGAGUUAAGAUCCCUUAAAGAUGAUAAGGUAGAUAGGCCGGAGGUGUAAAUGUAGUAAUACACUGAGCUGACCGGUACUAAUAGAUCGAGGGCUUAAUCAU